AGUGAACGCUGGCGGUAUGCCUAACACAUGCAAGUCGAACGGCAGCACAGUAAGCGCUUGCUCCUACGGGUGGCGAGUGGCGGACGGGUGAGGAAUACAUCGGCAUCUUCUUUUUCGUGGGUGAUAACGUAGGGAAACAUACGCUAAUACCGCAUACGACCUACGGGUGAAAGCAGGGGAUCUUCGGACCCUGCGCGAUUCUAUUAGCCGAUGCCGGAUUAGCUAGUUGGCGGGGUAAAGGCCCACCAAGGCGACGAUCCGUAGCUGGUCUGAGAGGAUGAUCAGCCACACUGGAACUGAGACACGGUCCAGACUCCUACGGGAGGCAGCAGUGGGGAAUAUUGGACAAUGGGCGCAAGCCUGAUCCAGCCAUACCGCGUGGGUGAAGAAGGCCUUCGGGUUGUAAAGCCCUUUUGUUGGGAAAGAAAAGCAGCAGGUUAAUACCCCGCUGUUCUGACGGUACCCAAAGAAUAAGCACCGGCUAACUUCGUG
RNAcentral lists this ribosomal RNA (492 nucleotides) under uncultured bacterium. RNAcentral's name for it is "partial 16S ribosomal RNA". It matches the Rfam family "Bacterial small subunit ribosomal RNA", at positions 29 to 507 of the family's 1533-position model. The record is from RNAcentral.